GAUGAACGCUAGCUACAGGUCUUAACACAUGCAAGUCGAGGGGCAGCAUUUCAGUUUGCUUGCAAACUGGAGAUGGCGACCGGCGCGCGGGUGAGUAACACGUAUCCAACCUGCCGAUAACUCGGGGAUAGCCUUUCGAAAGAAAGAUUAAUACCCGAUGGUAUAAUUAGACCGCAUGGUCUUGUUAUUAAAGAAUUUCGGUUAUCGAUGGGGAUGCGUUCCAUUAGGCAGUUGGUGAGGUAACGGCUCACCAAACCUUCGAUGGAUAGGGGUUCUGAGAGGAAGGUCCCCCACAUUGGAACUGAGACACGGUCCAAACUCCUACGGGAGGCAGCAGUGAGGAAUAUUGGUCAAUGGGCGCAGGCCUGAACCAGCCAAGUAGCGUGAAGGAUGACUGCCCUAUGGGUUGUAAACUUCUUUUAUAUGGGAAUAAAGUUUUCCACGUGUGGAAUUUUGUAUGUACCAUAUGAAUAAGGAUCGGCUAACUCCGUGCCAGCAGCCGCGGUAAUACGGAGGAUCCGAGCGUUAUCCGGAUUUAUUGGGUUUAAAGGGAGCGUAGGUGGACAGUUAAGUCAGUUGUGAAAGUUUGCGGCUCAACCGUAAAAUUGCAGUUGAUACUGGCUGUCUUGAGUACAGUAGAGGUGGGCGGAAUUCGUGGUGUAGCGGUGAAAUGCUUAGAUAUCACGAAGAACUCCGAUUGCGAUGGCAGCUCACUGGACUGCAACUGACACUGAUGCUCGAAAGUGUGGGUAUCAAACAGG
Molecule: ribosomal RNA, 761 nt
Filed under: uncultured bacterium
Lineage: Bacteria
Description: bacterial SSU rRNA
Rfam family: Bacterial small subunit ribosomal RNA
Source: RNAcentral